GGGGAUCUAGCUCAGUUGGUAGAGUGCCUGCCUUGCAUGCACAAGGCCCUGGGUUUAAUCCCUAGCCCG
Molecule: transfer RNA, 69 nt
Filed under: Ictidomys tridecemlineatus (thirteen-lined ground squirrel)
Lineage: Eukaryota; Metazoa; Chordata; Mammalia; Rodentia; Sciuridae
Description: Spermophilus tridecemlineatus (thirteen-lined ground squirrel) tRNA
Rfam family: tRNA
About the family: Transfer RNA (tRNA) molecules are approximately 80 nucleotides in length. Their secondary structure includes four short double-helical elements and three loops (D, anti-codon, and T loops).
Source: Rfam by way of RNAcentral